AGUCGAGCGAACAGAUAAGGAGCUUGCUCCUUUGACGUUAGCGGCGGACGGGUGAGUAACACGUGGAUAACCUACCUAUAAGACUGGGAUAACUUCGGGAAACCGGAGCUAAUACCGGAUAACAUAUUGAACCGCAUGGUUCAAUAGUGAAAGGCGGCUUUGCUGUCACUUAUAGAUGGAUCCGCGCCGUAUUAGCUAGUUGGUAAGGUAACGGCUUACCAAGGCAACGAUACGUAGCCGACCUGAGAGGGUGAUCGGCCACACUGGAACUGAGACACGGUCCAGACUCCUACGGGAGGCAGCAGUAGGGAAUCUUCCGCAAUGGGCGAAAGCCUGACGGAGCAACGCCGCGUGAGUGAUGAAGGUCUUCGGAUCGUAAAACUCUGUUAUCAGGGAAGAACAAAUGUGUAAGUAACUGUGCACAUCUUGACGGUACCUGAUCAGAAAGCCACGGCUAACUACGUGCCAGCAGCCGCGGUAAUACGUAGGUGGCAAGCGUUAUCCGGAAUUAUUGGGCGUAAAGCGCGCGUAGGCGGUUUUUUAAGUCUGAUGUGAAAGCCCACGGCUCAACCGUGGAGGGUCAUUGGAAACUGGAAAACUUGAGUGCAGAAGAGGAAAGUGGAAUUCCAUGUGUAGCGGUGAAAUGCGCAGAGAUAUGGAGGAACACCAGUGGCGAAGGCGACUUUCUGGUCUGUAACUGACGCUGAUGUGCGAAAGCGUGGGGAUCAAACAGGAUUAGAUACCCUGGUAGUCCACGCCGUAAACGAUGAGUGCUAAGUGUUAGGGGGUUUCCGCCCCUUAGUGCUGCAGCUAACGCAUAAGCACUCCGC
This 830-nucleotide ribosomal RNA is filed under the name Staphylococcus warneri. Its description in RNAcentral is "bacterial SSU rRNA". It matches the Rfam family "Bacterial small subunit ribosomal RNA", at positions 60 to 872 of the family's 1533-position model. The record is from RNAcentral. Lineage: Bacteria; Bacillati; Bacillota; Bacilli; Caryophanales; Staphylococcaceae.